Molecule: unclassified non-coding RNA, 381 nt
Filed under: uncultured fungus
Lineage: Eukaryota; Fungi
Description: partial contains small subunit ribosomal RNA, internal transcribed spacer 1, and 5.8S ribosomal RNA
Rfam family: Eukaryotic small subunit ribosomal RNA (bases 1-73)
Source: RNAcentral
GCAAACUUGGUCAUUUAGAGGAAGUAAAAGUCGUAACAAGGUUUCCGUAGGUGAACCUGCGGAAGGAUCAUUAUUGAAUAAACUUGGUUGGGGCUGUUUGCUGGCUCUUUGGAGCAAUGUGUGCACGCCUCACUCCAUUUCAAUCUCCUGUGCACCUUUUGUAGACCUUGAACAUGUUUCGAGAAGAAUUGUUUUUCUCGGUUGGAGGAUUGCUGUGUGAUGGCCACUCAGCUGUCUUCGUGUUUCUGGUCUAUGUGUAUAAUACACAUCCCUAAAAAAAUUUGUAUUGGACUGUGAUAGUAUAAGGCUUUCAUGCCUUUAAAAUGAAAUACAACUUUCAACAACGGAUCUCUUGGCUCUCGCAUCGAUGAAGAACGCAGC